AGCCUAUUAGCUCAAUUGGUCGAGCACUGUGUCCUUAACAUUGAAUGGCACAGAGGAUGUAGGUUCAAAUCCUACAUAGGCUA
This 83-nucleotide transfer RNA is filed under the name Spinacia oleracea (spinach). It matches the Rfam family "tRNA". From Rfam's summary of the family: Transfer RNA (tRNA) molecules are approximately 80 nucleotides in length. Their secondary structure includes four short double-helical elements and three loops (D, anti-codon, and T loops). Lineage: Eukaryota; Viridiplantae; Streptophyta; Magnoliopsida; Caryophyllales; Amaranthaceae. The record is from Rfam by way of RNAcentral.